Xenia sp. Carnegie-2017 is the source of this 875-nucleotide RNA transcript. RefSeq lists it as uncharacterized. Lineage: Eukaryota; Metazoa; Cnidaria; Anthozoa; Malacalcyonacea; Xeniidae. The transcript has 5 exons. The record is from RefSeq and is a predicted model, not a curated record.
ACUCUAUUAAAACACCUAUUAUAGAGGCGCGGGCCUCAGUUACGGUGACCUGCAAGCAGGCAGAAAUAGCCUUUUUCAUCUUCGUAUGCUCAUUACAUAAUAUAUGGAUUGAAAAUAUGGAUUUUAUUUUAAACAAACGAUUGGGAAGCGAAUCGGGUUACGAUGAUCUAAAAUCAUGUCAACGAGAGGCAAGGAUCUCUGGCAUAUCAUCAUUUAUUAUUGCUAAAUUGGCCUUGUGCUUGUACACAUUCCAGGGAGUAUGGCCACAUAUGCUGUGUUGAAGGUCACAAAAAUACUCAAAAAGGAACCUAAGUACAUUCCACUGAUUUGCCUUGGUUUUGGUGCAUGUUGUGGUUAUGCCAAGUCAAUAGUGGUGAUGCAGUCUUAUCAAAAUAGGCUCUAUCAAUAUGAAGGAAAGCCCAAAGAACUACCGACAACUAACUUGAUUAAUGGUCAAAAAUCACUGUCAAAAUAUGGCGAUGAAGGAUUUUAUAAGUGAACUGGAGCUCAAAGAAUUUGGAAUCAAUUUUUAUGGAUGUUAAUCAUGUUAUGUUUAUAAAUAUUUAAAUACUGUAUGUGGAUUUUGUGAAUGAAAUCAAAUUGUAAAUAUUGUUUGAAAGAUGGUUAUGAUUGAACAUAUCCAAACCAGUGGAAUGAAACAUUAUUUUUUACAGAAAUAACAGAGGAUGAACAAAUAAUAUAAGAUUAUAUCUUCAACGACAAUCAUAUUGUCACGUAUUAUGUCUCCGUGCCAGUCCCCAGGUCUAACACCCAGAACUACUUAAGAUUUUCGCCAUAGAUUACGUUAAUUCAAGUCUUUAUAUCCUAUGCAUAUUUAAGUUCCUUGAUGAAAUAAAUGUCGUCUAAGAAAAUAA